GAUGAAGAACGCAGCGAAAUGCGAUAAGUAAUGUGAAUUGCAGAAUUCAGUGAAUCAUCGAAUCUUUGAACGCACAUUGCGCCCGCCAGUAUUCUGGCGGGCAUGCCUGUUCGAGCGUCAUUACUACCCUCAGGCCCCCGGGCCUGGCGUUGGGGAUCGGCGGAAGCCCCCUGCGGGCACAACGCCGUCCCCCAAAUACAGUGGCGGUCCCGCCGCAGCUUCCAUUGCGUAGUAGCUAACACCUCGCAACUGGAGAGCGGCGCGGCCACGCCGUAAAACACCCAACUUCUGAAUGUUGACCUCGAAUCAGGUAGGAAUACCCGCUGAACUUAAGCAUAUCAAUAAGCGGAGGA
This 353-nucleotide unclassified non-coding RNA is filed under the name soil metagenome. Its description in RNAcentral is "partial contains 5.8S ribosomal RNA, internal transcribed spacer 2, and large subunit ribosomal RNA". The stretch from base 1 to 120 matches the Rfam family "5.8S ribosomal RNA", at positions 35 to 154 of the family's 154-position model. The record is from RNAcentral.